GAUGAACGCUGGCGGCGUGCCUAAUACAUGCAAGUCGAGCGAACAGACGAGGAGCUUGCUCCUCUGACGUUAGCGGCGGACGGGUGAGUAACACGUGGAUAACCUACCUAUAAGACUGGGAUAACUUCGGGAAACCGGAGCUAAUACCGGAUAAUAUAUUGAACCGCAUGGUUCAAUAGUGAAAGACGGUUUUGCUGUCACUUAUAGAUGGAUCCGCGCCGCAUUAGCUAGUUGGUAAGGUAACGGCUUACCAAGGCGACGAUGCGUAGCCGACCUGAGAGGGUGAUCGCCCACACGGGAGCUGAGACACGGUCCAGACUCCUACGGGAGGCAGCAGUAGGGAAUCUUCCGCAAUGGGCGAAAGCCUGACGGAGCAACGCCGCGUGAGUGAUGAAGGUCUUCGGAGCGUAAAACUCUGUUAUUAGGGAAGAACAAAUGUGUAAGUAACUAUGCACGUCUUGACGGUACCUAAUCAGAAAGCCACGGCUAACUACGUG
This 497-nucleotide ribosomal RNA is filed under the name uncultured bacterium. RNAcentral's name for it is "partial 16S ribosomal RNA". It matches the Rfam family "Bacterial small subunit ribosomal RNA", at positions 28 to 507 of the family's 1533-position model. The record is from RNAcentral.